UUCAGAUGCAAACCUCCUUGUCAAAGCUCAAGCUCAUCAUAUCUUUGAAAUUAAGCAGGGCUGGGCCUGGUUAGUACUUGGAUGGGAGACUGCUGAGAAUAUCGUGUGCCACAGUAU
This 117-nucleotide ribosomal RNA is filed under the name Periophthalmus magnuspinnatus. Lineage: Eukaryota; Metazoa; Chordata; Actinopteri; Gobiiformes; Gobiidae. The record is from RNAcentral.